Molecule: ribosomal RNA, 253 nt
Filed under: uncultured bacterium
Lineage: Bacteria
Description: partial 16S ribosomal RNA
Rfam family: Bacterial small subunit ribosomal RNA
Source: RNAcentral
UACAGAGGGGGCAAGCGUUAUUCGGAAUUAUUGGGCGUAAAGGGCGCGUAGGCGGCUUUUCAAGUGACGGGUGAAAUCCCUCGGCUUAACCGAGGAACUGCCUGUCAGACUGGAAGGCUUGAGACCGGGAGAGGUGAGUGGAAUUCCCAGUGUAGCGGUGAAAUGCGUAGAUAUUGGGAGGAACACCAGCGGCGAAGGCGGCUCACUGGACCGGAACUGACGCUGAGGCGCGAAAGCGUGGGGAGCAAACAGG